This 3735-nucleotide unclassified non-coding RNA is filed under the name Leishmania donovani. RNAcentral's name for it is "gene:LdHU3.24.0920(CDS-product:malic_enzyme_putat ive)". Lineage: Eukaryota; Euglenozoa; Kinetoplastea; Trypanosomatida; Trypanosomatidae. The record is from RNAcentral.
GCUUUCAGAUAUCAGUCAAAUCCCUUUUUUUUUCUUCUGUUGUUCUCGUCUUCUCGCUCGUCUUUCUUCUGUCGUUAACCCAAUCGCCAUCAUCCUUAGCAUCUCUCCUCUUGCAUUCUUUCGUCGGCAGGCUGCGAUCGACGGCCCUCUUCGGCCCCACCCCACCCCACCCGCCCCCGGUCGCCGCCCCCACGCCCUCCUCUCCUCCUCCUUUGCUCUCACAAGUCGUCGUGCGUUUUGUGACGUACACAAGUACCACAACACGUACGCACGUACGCGAACGGGCACGCAACGCACGGACAUACUCAUCGGUCGUUUUUUUUGUCACCCGGUCCAUCUCUCUUUCUGUCUGGCGUGUGCUGCAGCUUCGUUCACCGCAUCUACGAGGGCGCCUACAAACGGCUACCACAGCCAUCACGUCAUCUCCGCCCGACGUCGCCCGUUUCCUUCCCCUUCUCUUGCAUCAACCCGCCCUCCCCUCCUCUUUUUCCUGCCCGGCCACCUUGCUCAAUAUGCUUGCCAAGUCGCUGGUUCAUCUGAUCGAGGUGUCGAAGCGCCCAGUGCGCGGUGUCGAUUACCUGCGCAACCGCUUCACCAAUAAGGGCACAGCCUUUACCGCAGCAGAGCGGUCGCACAUGAACGUGGAAGGGUUGCUGCCGCCCUCUGUCGAGACCCUCGAUGAUCAGGUGGAGCGGUACUGGGAUCAGCUGAACCGUUUCAACGAGCCGAUCAACCGCUAUCAGUUGCUGCGCAACGUGCAGAACACGAACGUCACCCUCUACUACGCCAUCUUGACGCGGUACCUGAAGCAGACACUGCCGAUCGUGUACACACCGACCGUCGGCGAGGCCUGCCAGCGCUACGGUGACCUCUAUCAGAAGGACCACGGACUGUACCUCGACGUCGCCAGCAAGGGCAAGGUGAGGAAGCUGAUUCAGAACCUUCGCAAGACGAACGUCGACGUCAUCGUGAUCACCGAUGGCUCCCGCAUUCUCGGCCUGGGCGACCUCGGCGCCAACGGCAUCGGCAUCAGCAUCGGCAAGUGCUCCCUGUACGUCGCUGCGGGCGGUGUGAAGCCGAGCCGCGUGCUGCCGGUCGUCAUGGACGUUGGCACAAACAACCUCGAGCUCCGCAACAACCCGCUUUAUCUCGGUUUGCGCAAGCCGAGGUGCGGCGACGCCGACUUUUACGCUCUGCUGGACGAGUUCAUGGAAGCUGUGAAGGACACCUGGCCCUCCGCUGUCGUGCAGUUCGAGGACUUCAGCAACAACCACUGCUUCGACAUGCUGGAGCGCUACCAAAAGAAGUACCGCUGCUUCAACGACGAUAUCCAGGGCACCGGCGCCGUCAUAGCUGCUGGUUUCCACACGGCGGUGAAGCUAAGCAAGAUCCCGAUGGAGCAGCAGCGCAUCGUCUUCUUCGGCGCCGGCUCUGCCGCGACCGGUGUGGCGGAGAGCAUCGCCGACCUCGCCGCUGAGGCCGGGAUGAAGAAAGAGGACAUCAAGAAGAGCAUCUUCUUCGUCGACUCGAUGGGCAUGGUGGCCACCAACCGCGGUGACAAGCUGGCCAAGCACAAGCUGGGAUGGGCCCGCACCGACAUCCCUGACGCAGUUAUUGCAAGCCUGAAGACUCUCGAGGACGUUGUGCGCUACGUGCGGCCGACCGCGCUCAUCGGCCUCGGCGCCACCGCCAACGUCUUUUCGCGCGAGAUUGUGGAGUUUCUGCACUCGUGCUGCCCUCACCCGAUCAUAUUCCCGCUGUCAAAUCCGUCCAGCAAAGCCGAAAUUGUGCCGGCGAACGCAUACAAGUGGACGAACGGCGAUGCCAUCGUGGCCUCCGGCAGCCCCUUUCCUGAGACGGUCGUCAGCGGCCGCACGCUGCAACCAUCGCAAGGCAACAACCUGUACAUCUUCCCCGGGGUGGGUCUCGGCUGCUGCAUUGCUCAGCCGCCGUACAUCCCGCAGGAGGUGCUGGUGGCGGCCGCUGCCUGCCUGAGCACGCUGGCCACGCCGGACGACCUCGCCAAGGGACAGCUGUACCCGUCUAUUGAGGAGGUGCGCCGCGUGUCGCGUGAGGUGGCCGUGGCGUGUAUUCAGAAGCUACAGGAGCUGGGGCUGGCCAAGGCAGAUCUGCCAGAUAACCGCCCAGACCUGAUGAAGCUGGUGAAGACGGCUUUCUGGGAGCCGCGCUACUUGCCCGAGAAUUAUUACCUGGAGAAGGAGUUUAUUUGCUAAGACAGAUAGAAGAUGGGAGGAGAAGCUUAACCGCGAGGGUGCAGAGCUUGUGCGCGCUGUGAGCGUGUGCGUGUGUGCUUUUAAGUUUGUCUCUGUCUCUCAUAGACUUGUUAUGUGCCUAUUCCUUCCUUGUUUUGUGCUCCCAUCGACCCUUCCUCCUCCUCCGUGUCUUUUGGAAGCGCACAGCGUGGGCCCUCAUCGCCCUCCUCUUCCUUAUUUGUUGUUGUGUGUGCGUGUGUGUCUUUUUCUUGUCGGCGCCAGUGACAACGCGUUUCUCAUCACCUCCUUCUCCCUACCCUACCACGCACAGGAGCAGGCAUCUUUACGCAUGAGCUCCACCGCGACUUUGCUGCUGCUGCUCUGCGGGUCCAACCCUCCCUUCUCUCUUCUCGCUCUCUGUUGUCGGUGUCUGUCCGCAGUUGACGUCUUUUUGUGUGUGCGUGUGUGUGACAUAACGCGUCGCACCGCUGCUCUGCGCAUCUGUUCACAGAAGGUGGCGUACACACAUGCACGCCGCUGACGCGUGUGCGCCCACAGCAGCAGCGGCACGCCGCCAGCAGAGAGAGCGGCAUUAUAUAUAUUUACGUAUAUGCAAUGGAGGCCAGUUGUGGGUUUUGACGAAGAAGCGAAUCAAGCGCCGAGGUAGGGGUCGGGUUGACGGUCGAUUGGUGGCCUUCGGUCGUAGAAGCGGUGUUCUUGGUGGCAAACCCUGUAUAUUUUCGCGCUUGCCGUCCGGUGGCUCAUUAUAAGCGAUGCUGAUGUCUAUGCAGGCAACACUUGGGAAGAGGUCUUUACUGGGGCGUUCCGAAAUGGAAUGGAGGUGUUGGCUGGGGAAGUUCGGGGAAGCACCGAAGCGCAGGACAUCUCCUCACCUCCUUAGGAGGAGACCACACACUCACACAUACAACGCACACACACACACACGGUGAAGGCGCCCCUUGAACAGGGCAUGCGGACGGCUAACGCUCGCUCGCACUUCCUAUUAACGUAUAUAUAUAUAUAUUUAUAUAUACAUAUUUAUUUAAAUAUCCUUCCCGAGACAGCAAGUGCGGGCACCAGCAUCUGACCUAGCGAACACAUAAAUAUAUAUGCAUAUAUACAUACAUAUGCAUGAAUGUCUGUGCGCAGGGAUGAGGAGAGAGGGCUCUCUGCUUGCUCUUUUUUGGGGGAUUUCUUUCGUCAAGUGUUGUACGCUUCUCUCGAGACAUGACGGAACGACAUGAUCGAAGGGAGAAGAGCACAACCGCGUUUUCUUGGUCCCGUCCUCUUUUCUGUGCCAUCGAUGGCAGGGCGGGGUAGGGUGGGCCAACCGCCCACACAGUGCGCGGUGUCACAAGGUCCAGCACCAACCAUACACUCUCUCUGUGUGGGAGGAAGCCAAGCAGCCCCUCCUUAUCUCCUGCCAAUGCCGAGCCAUCUCUGGUGGUGGCAAGGCAAGGCACCUACGGCGCAGGGAGGUCAGAGCGAUUUACGGCUGCUGAUGUCUGCGGUCGGGUUAAUG